RNAcentral lists this ribosomal RNA (492 nucleotides) under uncultured bacterium. Its description in RNAcentral is "partial 16S ribosomal RNA". It matches the Rfam family "Bacterial small subunit ribosomal RNA", at positions 29 to 506 of the family's 1533-position model. The record is from RNAcentral.
AGUGGACGCUGGCGGUAGGCCUAACACAUGCAAGUCGAACGGCAGCACAGUAAGAGCUUGCUCUUACGGGUGGCGAGUGGCGGACGGGUGAGGAAUACAUCGGAAUCUACUUUUUCGUGGGGGAUAACGUAGGGAAACUUACGCUAAUACCGCAUACGACCUACGGGUGAAAGCAGGGGAUCUUCGGACCUUGCGCGAUUGAAUGAGCCGAUGUCGGAUUAGCUAGUUGGCGGGGUAAAGGCCCACCAAGGCGACGAUCCGUAGCUGGUCUGAGAGGGUGGUGCGCCACACAGGGAAUGUGACACCGUCCCGAUUCCUGAAGGGGGGAGAGGGGGGGAAUAUUGGAAAAUGGGGGCAAGGCGUGACCACGCCAUUCGGGGUGGGUGAAGAGGGCCUUCGGGUUGUAAAGCCUUUUUUUUGGGAAAAAAAAACGGCGGGUUAAACCCCCGUUGUUUGACGGGUACCCAAAGAAAAAACCCCGGUUAACUUGGU